This 28-nucleotide non-coding RNA is filed under the name Bombyx mori (domestic silkworm). The record is from RNAcentral. Lineage: Eukaryota; Metazoa; Arthropoda; Insecta; Lepidoptera; Bombycidae.
CUGAACACAAAUGAUGACAAACUGCUGA